CCUACGGGAGGCAGCAGUGGGGAAUCUUGCACAAUGGGCGAAAGCCUGAUGCAGCAACGCCGCGUGCGGGAAGAAGGCCCUAGGGUUGUAAACCGCUUUCAGUAGGGAAGAAAAUGACGGUACCUACAGAAGAAGGUGCGGCCAACUACGUGCCAGCAGCCGCGGUGACACGUAGGCACCAAGCGUUAUCCGGAUUUAUUGGGCGUAAAGAGCUCGUAGGCGGUUCGGUAAGUCGGGUGUGAAAACUCUGGGCUCAACCCAGAGAGGCCACCCGAUACUGCUGUGACUAGAGUGCGGUAGGGGAGCGGGGAAUUCCUGGUGUAGCGGUGAAAUGCGCAGAUAUCAGGAGGAACACCAGCGGCGAAGGCGCCGCUCUGGGCCGUAACUGACGCUGAGGAGCGAAAGCAUGGGUAGCAAACAGGAUUAGAUACCCUGGUAGUCCAUGCCGUAAACGUUGGGCACUAGGUGUGGGUCUCAACCAACGAGAUCCGCGCCGUCGCUAACGCAUUAAGUGCCCCGCCUGGGGAGUACGGUCGCAAGACUAAAACUCAAAUGAAUUGACGGCUGAGACGNGCGACGACGACACGAGGAGAGG
This 595-nucleotide ribosomal RNA is filed under the name uncultured bacterium. RNAcentral describes it as "bacterial SSU rRNA". It matches the Rfam family "Bacterial small subunit ribosomal RNA", at positions 338 to 961 of the family's 1533-position model. The record is from RNAcentral.